Molecule: long non-coding RNA, 329 nt
Filed under: Capsicum annuum
Lineage: Eukaryota; Viridiplantae; Streptophyta; Magnoliopsida; Solanales; Solanaceae
Description: long non-coding RNA (CANN_LNC014363)
Source: RNAcentral
GGCAGAGGAUUAGGGCCAGUUUGGGUCGCUAGUGUAGGGAAUUACUUGGUGGGGGUUUUAUUCCUGUUAUGAUUCCGUCUUCCGUGUUCCAUGUUUUAUUACGAAUCUGUGUGCUUUCCUUUGCUUUCCUCUGUUUUAUAUUACUUAUGGGUGCUGUAUUUAUGUUAUGUAAUCUGCUUCUGUGCUGUACUAUGUGUUUGUGUGGUAUCUCGUGUCUUGAGCCGGGGGUCUAUCGGAAACAGCCUUUCUACUUCAUCAGAGGUAGAGGUAUGGACUGCGUACAUCUUACCCCCCCCAGACCCCACUAGGUGGGAAUACACUGGGUUUGU